RNAcentral lists this ribosomal RNA (191 nucleotides) under uncultured Anaerolineaceae bacterium. RNAcentral describes it as "partial 16S ribosomal RNA". It matches the Rfam family "Bacterial small subunit ribosomal RNA", at positions 1194 to 1382 of the family's 1533-position model. The record is from RNAcentral. Lineage: Bacteria; Bacillati; Chloroflexota; Anaerolineae; Anaerolineales; Anaerolineaceae.
CAUGGCCUUUAUAUCCUGGGCUACACACACGCUACAAUGGGAAGGGACAAUAGGUUGCGAAGCCGCGAGGUGGAGCCAAUCCAGUAAAACUUCCCUCAGUUCAGAUUGCAGGCUGCAACUCGCCUGCAUGAAGUUGGAGUUGCUAGUAAACGCAGGUCAGCCAUACUGCGUUGAAUACGUUCCCGGGGCUU